Molecule: non-coding RNA, 23 nt
Filed under: Arabidopsis thaliana (thale cress)
Lineage: Eukaryota; Viridiplantae; Streptophyta; Magnoliopsida; Brassicales; Brassicaceae
Source: RNAcentral
UAAAGUACUUCGGUGCGUUUCUA